This 300-nucleotide long non-coding RNA is filed under the name Brassica napus (rape). RNAcentral's name for it is "long non-coding RNA (BNAP_LNC001712)". Lineage: Eukaryota; Viridiplantae; Streptophyta; Magnoliopsida; Brassicales; Brassicaceae. The record is from RNAcentral.
GAGAGGGAGGAUGUUUGAGAAACAAAGAUUUGGAGAUUUAGGGAUCAAUUGAGUAGGAUCGGGUUAGUGGGUUAGGAUAGUGUGUGGUUGGGUUAGUAAAUAAGUAGAACUUUCUAGGCUUCAUGGUCUUUUCCUCCUAUUUUUGAUUUAAUUUUAAUUCAUUUUUAAAAUAAAAAGGCAAGAGGUCCAUAUGAGAUUAUUUUGACCCCUUGUGGUCCAUUACAGCAUUUGUUCCAAAAAAAAGAUUUCACCGUGAAAUAUGGUUUAAUUGUAAAUGGAAAAAGACUCACCACACCACAA